Molecule: long non-coding RNA, 1589 nt
Organism: Homo sapiens (human)
Lineage: Eukaryota; Metazoa; Chordata; Mammalia; Primates; Hominidae
Product: long intergenic non-protein coding RNA 523
Source: Ensembl
GGCCUGGUGGGGCCUCUUCCGGUGUACACAGCAGGAAGCUGUGCUCUUCCUGAUGGACGUCAGCUCCUAUCUCUCCUGGGGAGUGGAGGCUGCUCUGGAGUGGGGCCAAGAUCGGGAGGCCCAGGAGAGAAAAGGGCCUGCAAUCUACCUCCCAGUCAACAAGAUGCUAUAAUAAAAACAUAGCCAACUGUCACUCAGCGUUUAUUACGGUGCCAGAUGAGGAAACAGGUGCAGAACCGUGGAGUAACCUGCGCAGGGUCUCCAGUAGAAAAACAGGCCCUUGGUCAGAUGAAUUUACCCACUUCGGCCACCAGGGGCGCUGUUGGCACAGCUUGAACUCGAGACCAGCGCUGUCCAACGGAAACCGAACGGAUCAAGAGGUCUGCUGUGUGACCUUCUUCAAGUUCCUGACCCUCUCUGGGCUGCAGUCACCUUAUUCAGAAAAUGGAGAGGCUAGACAAGAAAAUGAUGCUAAUCUCACCCUUUUCUGGGCUGGCAUUUUAUUGAGCACCUACUAGGCGCUGGGCAUUUUGCUAGGCCCUUCGUGCACACUGCCAUGAGAAAUCCACAGCAACCCCAGAGAUGGGUUCAUCAAUAACUCACCAGCAAAUACUUCCUGAGGCCCCACUGUGUGCCGAGCAUGGGCAUAGGUACUGGGCACACCUCGAUGAACAAGGGAGGUAAGGAUGUGACUCUCCUAGAACUUUCUGUCGAGAAGAGGAGAUGGAGAAUAAACAUGGAAACAAGCAAGAUCAUUCUGGAGAAAAUGCAAUCAGAUGAUGUGCUAGAUGGUAACAGAGAGAGGUCGAAUGAGAGAGAGGGCCGUGACAGCCUCUCUGAGAAGCUGAAAUCCAAGCAGAACCUGAAAGACGAGGAGAAACUCAGAUACAUAAAGACUGGGAAAAGCAUUCAAGUAGAGGGAACAGUGCGUGCAAAGGCCCUGAGGUGGGUGCAGUAGAUACCACAGGCCCCCUCACUCGAGACCACUCCAAGCACCUCCUGCCCUCUUGUGCCACAGAGCUCAGAAAGCUAAAGCAAUGUUCCCCAGAGGUCCUGUGGCCAAGGUCCUGCAUGGGCCUGGGUGACCCCUGCAGAAGCUUCUGAGCAAGACUGAGCAGGGAAAGAAAGGCCAUGUCAGAAAACCAUCCUCCAGCGAGCAUGGAGGCAGAGAGUCUCAUCCUGGCAUCCCAGGUGCUGAGCAGAGCAGACAGCAGCAGAGGGGCUCCCUAGAGCAGCUGGGGGCCCUGCCUGUGCCGUCGCUCUUUCCCCUCCCUGCCCUCUGGUCUGACAUCCCAUUGGCAUCACACACGAUGCCUCCCGGAGGUGCUCUUGUGCACACAGCAGGUCAAAGUGCCAGAGAAUUAGAUCCUGUCCUCUUGGGAACAGCCCUCAGCCAGCAGUGAGCCCUUAGGAGGAUGCUCCAAGCUCUAUCCUCCCCGGGUCCAGAGGCCCUGGGAUGGAGCGCCAUUGUGGAAGCAGUGACAACUUGAUGAAGCUCCCUGGGCUGGCCCCUUCCUCUCUGCCUUGUUCCCCGUUCCCUGCAGUCCUGCAAUCACCUCCCAAAUAAACCAUGUGCCCUUGCUGGAAUA